CCUACGUGAGGCAGCAGUGGGGAAUAUUGCGCAAUGGGCGAAAGCCUGACGCAGCGACGCCGCGUGAGGGAUGAAGGUCUUCGGAUCGUAAACCUCUGUCAGCAGGGAAGAACGGUCACUGUGCUAAUCAGCAGUGAAUUGACGGUACCUGCAAAGGAAGCACCGGCUAACUCCGUGCCAGCAGCCGCGGUAAUACGGAGGGUGCGAGCGUUAAUCGGAAUUACUGGGCGUAAAGCGCGCGUAGGCGGUAUGUCAAGUCAAGGGUGAAAUCCCCGCGCUGAACGUGGGAACUGCCUUUGAAACGGGCAAACUGGAGUGUGGGAGAGGAUAGUGGAAUUCCAGGUGUAGGAGUGAAAUCCGUAGAUAUCUGGAGGAACAUCAGUGGCGAAGGCGACUAUCUGGCACAUAACUGACGCUGAGGAGCGAAAGCGUGGGUAGCAAACAGGAUUAGAUACCCGAGUAGUC
This 465-nucleotide ribosomal RNA is filed under the name uncultured bacterium. Its description in RNAcentral is "partial 16S ribosomal RNA". It matches the Rfam family "Bacterial small subunit ribosomal RNA", at positions 338 to 795 of the family's 1533-position model. The record is from RNAcentral.